ACGAACGCUGGCGGCGUGCCUAAUACAUGCAAGUCGAACGGUCUUUCUAUGGAAGCUUGCUUCCACUGAGAAGAUAGUGGCGAACGGGUGAGUAACACGUGGGUAACCUGCCCAUAAGAGGGGGAUAACAUCCGGAAACGGGUGCUAAUACCGCAUAGUUUUCUUGAUCGCAUGAUCGGGAAAGGAAAGACGGCCUUUGUGCUGUCGCUUAUGGAUGGACCCGCGGCGUAUUAGUUAGUUGGUGAGGUAAUGGCUCACCAAGACGAUGAUACGUAGCCGACCUGAGAGGGUGAUCGGCCACAUUGGGACUGAGACACGGCCCAAACUCCUACGGGAGGCAGCAGUAGGGAAUCUUCCGCAAUGGACGAAAGUCUGACGGAGCAACGCCGCGUGAGUGAAGAAGGUUUUCGGGAAUCGUAAAACUCUGUUGUCAGAGAAGAACAAGUUGGAGAGUAACUGCUCCAGCCUUGACGGUAUCUGACCAGAAAGCCACGGCUAACUACGUGCCAGCAGCAGC
Molecule: ribosomal RNA, 517 nt
Filed under: uncultured bacterium
Lineage: Bacteria
Description: bacterial SSU rRNA
Rfam family: Bacterial small subunit ribosomal RNA
Source: RNAcentral